AUACGAUGUCUGGGGUGCCAAUUGGCUGAGAUAAUACCCAUUGAACCUGACCUGGAUAACACCAGCGGAGGAAGAUUCGGUAAGAUCAAA
This is a regulatory RNA element of 90 nucleotides. It matches the Rfam family "TPP riboswitch aptamer (THI element)". Rfam says of the family: Vitamin B(1) in its active form thiamin pyrophosphate (TPP) is an essential coenzyme that is synthesised by coupling of pyrimidine and thiazole moieties in bacteria. The previously detected thiamin-regulatory element, thi box was extended, resulting in a new, highly conserved RNA secondary structure, the THI element, which is widely distributed in eubacteria and also occurs in some archaea. The record is from Rfam.